UAGUCUGGGAAACUGCCUGAUGAGGGGGAGUAACUACUGGAAACGGUAGCUAAUACCGCAUAAUGUCGCAAGACCAAAGUGGGGGACCUUCGGGCCUCAUGCCAUCAGAUGUGCCCAGAUGGGAUUAGCUAGUAGGUGGGGUAAUGGCUCACCUAGGCGACGAUCCCUAGCUGGUCUGAGAGGAUGACCAGCCACACUGGAACUGAGACACGGUCCAG
RNAcentral lists this ribosomal RNA (218 nucleotides) under uncultured bacterium. RNAcentral's name for it is "partial 16S ribosomal RNA". It matches the Rfam family "Bacterial small subunit ribosomal RNA", at positions 113 to 334 of the family's 1533-position model. The record is from RNAcentral.